UACAGAGGUCUCAAGCGUUGUUCGGAUUCAUUGGGCGUAAAGGGUGCGUAGGCGGUCUGUUGCGUCCGCUGUGAAAACCCAGGGCUUAACCCUGGGCUUGCAGUGGAUACGGGCAGACUAGAGGCAGGUAGGGGAGAAUGGAAUUCCCGGUGUAGCGGUGAAAUGCGCAGAUAUCGGGAGGAACACCGGUGGCGAAGGCGGUUCUCUGGGCCUGACCUGACGCUGAGGAGCGAAAGCGUGGGGAGCGAACAGG
Molecule: ribosomal RNA, 253 nt
Filed under: uncultured bacterium
Lineage: Bacteria
Description: partial 16S ribosomal RNA
Rfam family: Bacterial small subunit ribosomal RNA
Source: RNAcentral